AUACGGAGGGUGCAAGCGUUACUCGGAAUCACUGGGCGUAAAGCGCGCGCAGGCGGUUUGAUAAGUUGGAUGUGAAAUCCUAUGGCUCAAUCAUAGAACUGCAUCCAAAACUGUCAAACUAGAGUCUGGGAGAGGAAGAUGGAAUUAGUUGUGUAGGGGUAAAAUCCGUAGAGAUAACUAGGAAUACCAAAAGCGAAGGCGAUCUUCUGGAACAGUACUGACGCUGAGGCGCGAAAGCGUGGGGAGCAAACAGGAUUAGAAACCCCAGUAGUCC
Molecule: ribosomal RNA, 274 nt
Filed under: uncultured bacterium
Lineage: Bacteria
Description: partial 16S ribosomal RNA
Rfam family: Bacterial small subunit ribosomal RNA
Source: RNAcentral